ACACCCUGUCCCCACUGUGUCAUCAGAGGGCAGGAAUUCAAAAAAAAAAAGUAUCUGUUCUUAUCAGCUUAAUAUCUGAUAUGCGCCCAAGGGCGCUCAAAUAUUAAACUGAUUUUUGGAACUAGCUUGUCGGCAUGAGGCUUGCCUCACCGCGAGCACGGGUUGCCCUGGCAUUGCAGCCCCUUUUCA
Molecule: non-coding RNA, 189 nt
Organism: Rhopilema esculentum
Lineage: Eukaryota; Metazoa; Cnidaria; Scyphozoa; Rhizostomeae; Rhizostomatidae
Source: RefSeq, a predicted model, not a curated record